ACUUAUCUUCAGGGAUAGGUGAAAUUCCUUACCGGCGGUAGACAGCAUGGUAUUUGCUGUGAGCCCGCGAGCCUUUUUGGCAGAUCCGGUCAAAGUCCGGAGCCGACAGUGAAAUGUAUUAAUAUGUUUUGUUAUUAAUACAUUGAGUCUGGAUGGGAGAAGAUAAAG
Molecule: non-coding RNA, 168 nt
Filed under: Acetivibrio thermocellus
Lineage: Bacteria; Bacillati; Bacillota; Clostridia; Acetivibrionales; Acetivibrionaceae
Also listed under: 1 other name
Description: Clostridium thermocellum FMN sequence
Rfam family: FMN riboswitch aptamer (RFN element)
About the family: The RFN element is a highly conserved domain that is found frequently in the 5'-untranslated regions of prokaryotic mRNAs that encode for flavin mononucleotide (FMN) biosynthesis and transport proteins. This element is a metabolite-dependent riboswitch that directly binds FMN in the absence of proteins.
Source: RNAcentral